AACGAACGCUGGCGGCAUGCCUAACACAUGCAAGUCGAACGAGACCUUCGGGUCUAGUUGCGCACGGGUGCGUAACGCGUGGGAACCUGCCCUUAGGUUCGGAAUAACUCCCCGAAAGGGGUGCUAAUACCGGAUAAUGUCUUCGGACCAAAGAUUUAUCGCCUUUGGAUGGGCCCGCGUUGUAUUAGCUAUUUGGUAGGGUAAAAGCCUACCACGGCGUCGAUCCAUAGCUGGUCUGAGAGGAUGAUCAGCCACACUGCGACUGAGACACGGGCCAGACUCCUAGGGGAGGCAGCAGUGGGGAAUAUGGGGCAAUGGGCGCAAGCCUGAUCCAGCCAAAGCGCGUGGGUGAAGAAGGCCUUCGGGUUGUAAAGCCCUUUUGGUGGGAAAGAAAAGCAGCAGGUUAAUACCCCGCUGUUCUGACGGUACCCAAAGAAUAAGCACGGGCUAACUUCGUG
Molecule: ribosomal RNA, 458 nt
Filed under: uncultured bacterium
Lineage: Bacteria
Description: partial 16S ribosomal RNA
Rfam family: Bacterial small subunit ribosomal RNA
Source: RNAcentral